GUGCCAGCCGCGGCGGUAAUACGUAGGUGGCAAGCGUUAUCCGGAUUUAUUGGGCGUAAAGCGAGCGCAGGCGGUUACUUAAGUCUGAUGUGAAAGCCUUCGGCUUAACCGGAGAAGUGCAUCGGAAACUGGGUAACUUGAGUGCAGAAGAGGACAGUGGAACUCCAUGUGUAGCGGUGAAAUGCGUAGAUAUAUGGAAGAACACCAGUGGCGAAGGCGGCUGUCUGGUCUGUAACUGACGCUGAGGCUCGAAAGCAUGGGUAGCGAACAGGAUUAGAUACCCUGGUAGUCCAUGCCGUAAACGAUGAAUGCUAGGUGUUGGAGGGUUUCCGCCCUUCAGUGCCGCAGCUAACGCAUUAAGCAUUCCGCCUGGGGAGUACGACCGCAAGGUUGAAACUCAAAGGAAUUGACGGGGGCCCGCACAAGCGGUGGAGCAUGUGGUUUAAUUCGAAGCUACGCGAAGAACCUUACCAGGUCUUGACAUACUGUGCUAACCUAAGAGAUUAGGCGUUCCCUUCGGGGAC
This 524-nucleotide ribosomal RNA is filed under the name uncultured Lactobacillus sp. RNAcentral describes it as "bacterial SSU rRNA". It matches the Rfam family "Bacterial small subunit ribosomal RNA", at positions 505 to 1027 of the family's 1533-position model. The record is from RNAcentral. Lineage: Bacteria; Bacillati; Bacillota; Bacilli; Lactobacillales; Lactobacillaceae.